This 177-nucleotide non-coding RNA is filed under the name Pseudomonadales bacterium. RNAcentral's name for it is "6S RNA". It matches the Rfam family "6S / SsrS RNA". From Rfam's summary of the family: E. coli 6S RNA was the first non coding RNA to be sequenced, but its function was unknown until recently. It consists of 184 nucleotides that fold into an extended hairpin structure with a large single-stranded internal bulge. The 6S RNA specifically associates with RNA polymerase holoenzyme containing the sigma70 specificity factor. The record is from RNAcentral. Lineage: Bacteria; Pseudomonadati; Pseudomonadota; Gammaproteobacteria; Pseudomonadales.
AGUUGCCUUGAGCAUUAGCCAAUCAAAAAUGUUCUUGAGCCGAUAUCUGUAAAACCGGAGCCUCCUCGCAGAUGCUGUUGUGCAUGUCCGCCUGACGGAAAGCCUUAUGUGUCGCUGGAGGCACCACCUGGACCAUAGGGUUCAGGACUGUUUUGAUAGCGGUGCUCCGGGUAACUU